AGUCGAGCGAGGAGAUCCCUUCGGGGAUAACCUAGCGGCGGACGGGUGAGUAACACGUGGGCAACCUGCCUUAUAGAGGGGAAUAGCCUUCCGAAAGGAAGAUUAAUACCGCAUAACAUUACAUUUUCGCAUGAAGAAGUAAUUAAAGGAGCAAUCCGCUAUAAGAUGGGCCCGCGGCGCAUUAGCUAGUUGGUGAGGUAACGGCUCACCAAGGCGACGAUGCGUAGCCGACCUGAGAGGGUGAUCGGCCACAUUGGGACUGAGACACGGCCCAGACUCCUACGGGAGGCAGCAGUGGGGAAUAUUGCACAAUGGGGGAAACCCUGAUGCAGCAACGCCGCGUGAGUGAUGAAGGUCUUCGGAUCGUAAAGCUCUGUCUUCAGGGACGAUAAUGACGGUACCUGAGGAGGAAGCCACGGCUAACUACGUGCCAGCAGCCGCGGUAAUACGUAGGUGGCGAGCGUUGUCCGGAUUUACUGGGCGUAAAGGGAGCGUAGGCGGAUUUUUAAGUGAGAUGUGAAAUACCCGGGCUCAACUUGGGUGCUGCAUUUCAAACUGGAAGUCUAGAGUGCAGGAGAGGAGAGUGGAAUUCCUAGUGUAGCGGUGAAAUGCGUAGAGAUUAGGAAG
RNAcentral lists this ribosomal RNA (627 nucleotides) under uncultured bacterium. RNAcentral describes it as "bacterial SSU rRNA". It matches the Rfam family "Bacterial small subunit ribosomal RNA", at positions 60 to 704 of the family's 1533-position model. The record is from RNAcentral.